This 87-nucleotide non-coding RNA is filed under the name Jatrophihabitans endophyticus. Its description in RNAcentral is "ZTP sequence". It matches the Rfam family "ZMP/ZTP riboswitch aptamer (pfl RNA motif)". From Rfam's summary of the family: Previously known as pfl RNA. Lineage: Bacteria; Bacillati; Actinomycetota; Actinomycetes; Jatrophihabitantales; Jatrophihabitantaceae. The record is from Rfam by way of RNAcentral.
GCCGCGAGCCGUGACUGGCGCUUCGCAGGUGGAUCCGACCACCGGGGAGCGGCUCGCGCACCACCGCCGCGCGCCUGGGCUCACCGA